GGAUGUGAGGGUGAUCUGGCUACGACAACUGUCACCCCAACCCAUUGAUCACCAGGGUUGAUUCAGCUGAUCUGGCUGGCUAGGCAGGUGUCCCCUUCCUCCCUCACAGCUCCAUGUACAUCCCUCCUGAAGCUGCAUUCUCAGUGGAAGAGGAUGGCCUUCCUGGAAUAUAGAAGAACCAGUCUUCUGUGGAGGGUACAGGAGUAGCUGCACUCCCCUGCUAGAACCUCCAAACAAGUUCUCAUACUUCACUAUCCAGAUUACAUGAUAACACUUAACUUCAGGAUUCCUAGUAACAUAAUCCUAUAAUUUUUCAAAAGUAAAGAGAACUAUAACUAUUGAUAGAAAGUACUU
This is an unclassified non-coding RNA of Erinaceus europaeus (western European hedgehog), 354 nucleotides long. Its record names the gene 7SK. It matches the Rfam family "7SK RNA". From Rfam's summary of the family: 7SK was discovered as an abundant small nuclear RNA in the mid-70s but a possible function has only recently been suggested. Two independent studies have found that 7SK RNA binds the CDK9/cyclin T complex (known as elongation factor P-TEFb). The record is from Ensembl. NCBI's taxonomy places the organism in Eukaryota, Metazoa, Chordata, Mammalia, Eulipotyphla, Erinaceidae.